Long non-coding RNA from Syzygium oleosum, 526 nucleotides. RefSeq lists it as uncharacterized. The record is from RefSeq and is a predicted model, not a curated record. NCBI's taxonomy places the organism in Eukaryota, Viridiplantae, Streptophyta, Magnoliopsida, Myrtales, Myrtaceae. The transcript is spliced from 3 exons.
UUUCUUGUGAAUUUUUUUGACGUCAUUUAUGUGAGACACAUAUUGCAGCUUGCAGGGACAUUAUGCAGUUUUGCAGGCCCUUGCUCUUUAAGAAGAUUACUUGCCGGAAAUAUAAGAUGUAACAGUGCCUGAUGAGGAAGGCCUAGCUAGGUCAGGAGUUGUUAAUGCGAUAGAAGAGUUCAAGCUGUCUGUUUAUGGGGAUAAGUAUGAGGAAAGCGAUAAUCCCGGCCAUAAAAAAGGGGAGCGAGCCAUCCAAGAAACGAAAAGCCAUUGCGGAUAGUUCCGUUGGGAAAUCUGCACAAAAUUGGGCUGAGCUCGCUGACAGUGGCAAGUUGAAGGAUUUGACGGUAGUGGAGUUAAAGUUCUACCUGACUGCACCCGAUCUGCCCGUCUCUGGGAAGAAAGAGGAUUUGAUCAAGAGGAUAUUGACUAACAUGGGGAAGUGAACUUGUAAUGUAACUAUUGCAAGGUUUUUGUAUUGCUUUUGAUCCCUUGAUAGCUGCAAUAGAAUCCCAAGAAUGCUGAA